AUGAAGUAUUUAAAGGAGCUUAAAGAAUUCCAUGUCAAGAAAGAGAGUGAUGGAUUUGAAUUAAGUGAGUUGGGGGAUUUAGCAGAGCUUGGAGGAGAACUCAGUAUAUAUAAUCUUGGAAAUGUGGCAACCAAGGAAGAGGCCAGGAAAGCCAAGCUUGUGUCAAAAGGUGAUUUGAAAGAGUUGAGGUUGGUUUGGGGAGAAUUGGAUGCAUCAGAAUCAUCUGAUGGUGCAUCGGAAUCAUCUGAUGCCCUUGAUGGUCCAACAGAAUCAUCUGGUGCCCUUGAUGGUACAGCAGAAUUAUCUGAUGUUCUUGAUGGUCUUGAGCCACAUCCUAAUCUGCAAUCACUUGGCAUUAUAAACCAUGGUGGUUCAGUCGGUCCUCAUUGGUUGUGUGAUCACAUGAGCAUAAAGAUGCUUGUGUCUCUCCACCUAGAGGGUGUGUCUUGGUCCAUUCUUCCACCUUUUGGGCAGUUAUUGCAUCUCAGAUCACUCACAUUGAUUCACAUUUCUACACUUGUUCAGAUCAGGCCAGGCGUUGUUGGGGUUACGGCCAGAAGUUUUACGCAGUUGAAGGAGAUUGUUCUUGAUUCUUUGUCAGAAUUUACUGAGUGGGUUGGGACAUCUAAUGCCCAUUCAUUUUCAAUGCUUGAAAGAAUUGUUUGCAGAAAAUGUCCCAAUCUCUAUUCACUGCCGUUCCUACAGGAUUGCCCUGCGGGCUCAUAUAACCAUCUGUGGAAACUUGAAAUUACUGGUUGCCCAAAGUUGCUUAUGCCCCUCAUGCCUCACAGUUCCACACUAACUGAAGUUACUGUGUCUACUAGCCGUACUGGGGAUAUGGUGUACGCCAACCGUAAUUUGUAUUUGACGAGGUAUAGCAGGGAAUUAGCCUGGCACAAUAUGGCCGGCAAAGUACAGAGCAUCACAUUUAAAGCUGGAUCAACAAUCCCAUGGAUAGUCCUCCAAAAUUUAACCUCCCUCAAGAAACUUGAAAUUGAAGGAGACUCAAGCCAGCAGUCGAUGGCUUCGGUCUCAUACCUCACGUCUCUCACCAAUCUAAGAAUACAAGAUUGUAAGAAUUUCAAAGUGGGUGGGUUCAAUCUUCUCAUGGCUUCCAACCUCAAGAUUUUGGCGGUCCACAACAUAAUUGAAUAUUACCCUCGCUCUGUAGCCGCAGAUCUUCUCUCGGAAUUGGCGGUGGAAAUAACAAGGAGUAAAAAGUUAUUACCACCUGCAGCUGGCUCUUUACUCCAGUUGGAAAGACUUAAUGUGGAUAGCAUCUCGGCUGUGCUUGUUGCUCCAGUUUGUCGACUACUCGCUGCUACCCUCAAGGAGUUAGUGAUCACGUGUGAUCGAGAGGUGGAGAACCUCACCAAAGAUGAAGAGAAAGCGCUUCAGCUCCUCACCUCACUCCAAGAACUAAUUUUUUGGAGGUGCCGGCGUCUGCGGUCCUUCCCUCAAGGGUUACACGGCCUUCCUUGUCUCAGGACACUAAAAGCCAUCAGCUGUCGAAAAAUCCGAUCGCUGCCCAAGAAGGGAAUCCCCACUUCUCUGCGGGAGCUAUCAAUAAAUGAUUGCAGUCGCAAGCUACACAAUCAAGCCAAGAAACUAAAUCAAAGAAAUUUGUCUGUAAGCGCCUAG
This 1641-nucleotide ribosomal RNA is filed under the name Triticum aestivum (bread wheat). RNAcentral's name for it is "partial small subunit ribosomal RNA". The record is from RNAcentral. Lineage: Eukaryota; Viridiplantae; Streptophyta; Magnoliopsida; Poales; Poaceae.